RNAcentral lists this ribosomal RNA (372 nucleotides) under uncultured bacterium. RNAcentral's name for it is "bacterial SSU rRNA". It matches the Rfam family "Bacterial small subunit ribosomal RNA", at positions 527 to 896 of the family's 1533-position model. The record is from RNAcentral.
GGAGGGUGCGAGCGUUGUUCGGAUUUAUUGGGCGUAAAGCGCGUGUAGGCGGCUCCUUAAGUCUGAUGUGAAAGCCCUGGGCUCAACCCGGGAAGUGCAUUGGAAACUGGGGAACUUGAAUACGGGAGAGGGUAGUGGAAUUCCUGGUGUAGGAGUGAAAUCCGUAGAUAUCAGGAGGAACACCGGUGGCGAAGGCGGCUACCUGGACCGAUAUUGACGCUGAGACGCGAAAGCGUGGGGAGCAAACAGGAUUAGAUACCCUGGUAGUCCACGCCGUAAACGAUGAGUACUUAGGUGUUGCGGGUAUUGACCCCUGCAGUGCCGCAGCUAACGCAUUAAGUACUCCGCCUGGGAAGUACGGUCGCAAGACUA